Molecule: ribosomal RNA, 321 nt
Filed under: uncultured eukaryote
Lineage: Eukaryota
Description: partial 18S ribosomal RNA
Rfam family: Eukaryotic small subunit ribosomal RNA
Source: RNAcentral
CCCUUAGAUGUUCUGGGCCGCACGCGUGCUACACUGAGUGGAUCAGCGGGUCAGGUUGCGCGAAAGUGUUUCCUAAUCUUGAAAUCCGCUCGUGAUGGGGUUGACGGUUGCAAUUUUCCGUCAUGAACGAGGAAUACCUUGUAAGCGCGGGUCAUCAUCCCGCGCUGAAUACGUCCCUGCCCUUUGUACACACCGCCCGUCGCUCCUACCGAUUGAGUGGUCCGGUGAGGCUUUGGGAUCUGAGCGGAAAGAGCGUUUCGCUGUUUCUGCUCGGAAAACUCAGUCGAACCUUAUCAUUUAGAGGAAGGAGAAGUCGUAACA